This 428-nucleotide ribosomal RNA is filed under the name Pristionchus lheritieri. RNAcentral's name for it is "eukaryotic LSU rRNA". It matches the Rfam family "Eukaryotic large subunit ribosomal RNA", at positions 443 to 755 of the family's 3401-position model. Lineage: Eukaryota; Metazoa; Nematoda; Chromadorea; Rhabditida; Neodiplogasteridae. The record is from RNAcentral.
UUGACGAAACUGGCAGUGUUCAGCGUUCGCGAUCGGGCUUCGGCUCGUGGUCGGGCGUGCAUUCAUUGUCGGUACGUGCUGGGACGUUUGGCGUGCUCUUCUGAAGGCUUCAGAGUUGCCCAAGUUCGCUUGGUAGUAUUCUGUUGUCGGAAGUUGAUAUGCGUGCUAAUCGUAAAGUUGGCCAGGCCUCUGCGCGGUCAGUUGCUGGGUAGUGCUUCGCUUGGUAGUCGGACAUGUCUGGCUGCCUCGUGCGAGUGCUGGUUAGUGGCUGCUCGCCUAUGGUUCAAUCCCGGUAUGUGAAAGUCGACCACCUAUCCGACCCGUCUUGAAACACGGACCAAGAAGUCUAGUAUGUACGCGAGUCAUUGGGUAUCAAAACCUAUUGGCGCAAUAAAUGUGAAGGGCGGCUCGUUCGUCUGAUAUGUGAU